UACGGAGGGAGCUAGCGUUGUUCGGAAUUACUGGGCGUAAAGCGCACGUAGGCGGCUACUCAAGUCAGAGGGGAAAGCCCAGGGCUCAACCCUGGAACUGCCUUUGAAACUAGGUAGCUAGAAUCUUGGAGAGGUCAGUGGAAUUCCGAGUGUAGAGGUGAAAUUCGUAGAUAUUCGGAAGAACACCAGUGGCGAAGGCGACUGACUGGACAAGUAUUGACGCUGAGGUGCGAAAGCGUGGGGAGCAAACAGG
RNAcentral lists this ribosomal RNA (253 nucleotides) under uncultured bacterium. RNAcentral describes it as "partial 16S ribosomal RNA". It matches the Rfam family "Bacterial small subunit ribosomal RNA", at positions 524 to 776 of the family's 1533-position model. The record is from RNAcentral.